GUAGUUUGACUGUACAUACACUUGGUCUGUAGCCAUUCGGAUCCUUGCGGUGCAUGUUGGUUGUAGUAAGUUCAUUGUAGGAAUAGGGUGUGUACUUAUAUAAAAUCUAUCUCCCUUGGUAGAUAGGGGCGUUAGUUCUAUAUGAUUUAUGAGAUCAAGUUUAGAUUUUUAAUAUUAAAAACUCGAGUUGAAUAAAUUUGAUAUAUGACAGACGAUGGGGUUUGACGAGCUAUUUUAUGACCUUCGUCUAGUCGGGACUCAUGAUAGAAGGACUGUAUCACAUGGUAACUGCACCAAGAGGUUCAGUAUUCUAUUCUACUGGAAUGCCACUACAUAUUGUUAGGUGUCACUGGUGGAUUGUGAAACUCAUGAGAAUUAUCUGAAUAAUCGAUAAUUCUCAUUGGGCAGAGUGAGAAUUGUUCCAACCCACUGAAAGGAGUUUCAGUAAUAUUGUUGAUAGUGAUCAGAAUAUACCUCUCUACUAGAUAGAAUAGAACAUAUUGAGUCACAUACAUAGGAGGUUGUGAUUGAUCAAAUAGUUGGAUCACGAUUUUUGAAUCACCGAAGGACCUAAUUAUCAAUAUAUUAAUAAUU
Molecule: long non-coding RNA, 594 nt
Filed under: Ananas comosus (pineapple)
Lineage: Eukaryota; Viridiplantae; Streptophyta; Magnoliopsida; Poales; Bromeliaceae
Description: long non-coding RNA (ACOM_LNC026923)
Source: RNAcentral